GUCUAGGCCAUGCCACCCUGAACGCGCCCAGUCUCUCCCCUGAUCUCGCAAGCUAAGCAGGGUCGAGCCUGGUUAGUAUUUGGAUGGGUGAAUAUGUAAACUGUGGAACCAGUCU
RNAcentral lists this ribosomal RNA (115 nucleotides) under Carlito syrichta (Philippine tarsier). Lineage: Eukaryota; Metazoa; Chordata; Mammalia; Primates; Tarsiidae. The record is from RNAcentral.